CUAUACAAUCUCCUAGCUUUCC
RNAcentral lists this microRNA (22 nucleotides) under Scyliorhinus torazame (cloudy catshark). RNAcentral describes it as "Sto-Let-7-P1c_3p* (star (passenger))". Lineage: Eukaryota; Metazoa; Chordata; Chondrichthyes; Carcharhiniformes; Scyliorhinidae. The record is from RNAcentral.